GGCGGUGAACGGAGCCCGCUGUAAAUCUGCCGGCUCAGCCUUCCCAGGUUCGAAUCCUGGCGCCGCCA
Molecule: transfer RNA, 68 nt
Filed under: Streptomyces sp. SID14478
Lineage: Bacteria; Bacillati; Actinomycetota; Actinomycetes; Kitasatosporales; Streptomycetaceae
Description: tRNA-OTHER
Source: RNAcentral